AUACGGAGGGUGCAAGCGUUACUCGGAAUCACUGGGCGUAAAGCGCGCGCAGGCGGCUAUUUAAGUUGGAUGUGAAAGCCUAUGGCUCAACCAUAGAACUGCAUCCAAAACUAUUUAGCUAGAGUGUGGGAGAGGAAGAUGGAAUUAGUUGUGUAGGGGUAAAAUCCGUAGAGAUAACUAGGAAUACCAAAAGCGAAGGCAAUCUUCUGGAACACUUCUGACGCUGAGGCGCGAAAGCGUGGGGAGCAAACAGGAUUAGAUACCCUAGUAGUCC
RNAcentral lists this ribosomal RNA (274 nucleotides) under uncultured bacterium. RNAcentral's name for it is "partial 16S ribosomal RNA". It matches the Rfam family "Bacterial small subunit ribosomal RNA", at positions 523 to 796 of the family's 1533-position model. The record is from RNAcentral.